Molecule: small nuclear RNA, 107 nt
Organism: Suncus etruscus (white-toothed pygmy shrew)
Lineage: Eukaryota; Metazoa; Chordata; Mammalia; Eulipotyphla; Soricidae
Source: RefSeq, a predicted model, not a curated record
GUGCUUGCUUCAGCAGCAUACGUACUAAAAUUGGAACAAUACAGAGAAGAUUAGCAUGGCUCCUGCGCAAGGAUGUUACUAUCUUUUAUUUGUUUUUUUUUUUUUUU